AUGGCCUGUGCCGCCUACAGUAUCAGGGGCCAUCUCAAGCUUGCCGCGGGGCAUGGCCUGGCCAGUAAUCACCUGCGCGGCGGCUGGAAGCCUUCGGCGUCUUGCCCUGUUUCUCGGGCAUGGAGUAGCAAUGUCUCCAGUAAUGCAGUGCAGCACGUCGCCCGCCAUUCUCAUUUGACUGUCCGGAAUUCAGAAAGAUGGCGCUCGAUCCCGAAAGCUUCGCCGGAGGACGGGAUCGCCGUUGCUGAAGGGGUGAUGACUGUACUCGUCAUUGGCGGUGGAGGAAGGGAGCAUGCGCUUUGUUAUGCUUUGACCCGUUCGCCUUCUUGCCAGACAGUUUUAUGUGCCCCUGGUAAUGCUGGCAUUGCUCAAUCCAGAGACGCGGUUUGUAUAUCGGACUUGGACAUUUCUAGCAGUGAUGCUGUUAUAUCGUUCUGCCGCAAGAGGGGAGUGGGAAUGGUGGUAGUGGGUCCUGAAGGUCCUCUUGUUGCGGGUCUUGCGAAUGACCUUGUCAAAGCUGGGAUACCGACCUUUGGUCCGUCGUCCGAGGCUGCAGCAUUAGAAGGAUCAAAGGACUUUAUGAAGAGGUUGUGUGAUAAGUAUAAUAUCCCCACUGCUCAGUAUCGCACAUUCACGGAUCCUGCAAAAGCUAAAGAGUACAUCAAGGAUCAAGGGGCCCCUAUUGUUGUCAAAGCUGAUGGAUUGGCAGCUGGAAAAGGCGUCGUUGUUGCUAUGGCUUUGGAUGAGGCCUUCGAAGCAAUAGACUCUAUGAUGGUUGACGAGUCAUUUGGUUCUGCUGGUUCGCGGGUCGUCAUUGAGGAGUAUCUGGAGGGCGAAGAAGCCUCUUUCUUUGCAUUAGUAGAUGGUGAAAAUGCUUUGCCACUUGAAUCAGCACAGGAUCACAAAAGAGUUGGUGAUGGUGAUACUGGCCCAAACACGGGUGGUAUGGGUGCAUACUCCCCUGCGCCAAUAGUGACCGAAGAGCUUAAGAGCGUGAUCAUGGAAACUAUAAUUACUCCAACUGUUAAAGGUAUGGCUGCUGAAGGAUGCAAGUUUGUUGGUGUAUUAUAUGCCGGGCUUAUGAUUGAGAAGAAAUCUGGUCUGCCUAAACUUAUUGAAUAUAAUGUGCGAUUUGGGGAUCCUGAAUGCCAGGUUCUGAUGAUGAGAUUGGAGUCUGAUCUUGCACAGGUCCUGCUAUCUGCAUGCAGAGGAGAACUGGGUAAGGUUUCGCUAACCUGGUCACCUGAAAUCGCGAUGGUGGUUGUGAUGGCGAGCGAAGGAUACCCUAGCUCUUAUAAGAAGGGCACCGUAAUAAAAAACAUCGACAAGGCCGAGCAGGUUUCUCCUGCUGUCAAGAUAUUCCAUGCUGGGACAGCUUUGGCUGGAGACGGCAACCUUGUAGCUGUCGGAGGCCGGGUUCUUGGCGUCACUGCGAAGGGCAAGGACAUCGAGGAAGCGAGGUCGAGAGUGUACGAUGCGGUAGAUGUCGUCGACUGGCCGGAAGGAUUCUUCAGGCGAGAUAUCGGCUGGAGGGCACUGAAGCAGGAGCAGACGGCUAACUACUGA
RNAcentral lists this ribosomal RNA (1566 nucleotides) under Triticum aestivum (bread wheat). Its description in RNAcentral is "partial small subunit ribosomal RNA". Lineage: Eukaryota; Viridiplantae; Streptophyta; Magnoliopsida; Poales; Poaceae. The record is from RNAcentral.